Molecule: ribosomal RNA, 253 nt
Filed under: uncultured bacterium
Lineage: Bacteria
Description: partial 16S ribosomal RNA
Rfam family: Bacterial small subunit ribosomal RNA
Source: RNAcentral
UACGUAGGGGGCAAGCGUUAUCCGGAUUUACUGGGUGUAAAGGGAGCGUAGACGGCGGUGCAAGUCUGGAGUGAAAGGCAGGGGCCCAACCCCUGGACUGCUCUGGAAACUGUAGUGCUGGAGUGCAGGAGAGGUAAGUGGUAUUCCUAGUGUAGCGGUGAAAUGCGUAGAUAUUAGGAGGAACACCGGUGGCGAAGGCGGCUUACUGGACUGUAACUGACGUUGAGGCUCGAAAGCGUGGGGAGCAAACAGG